Molecule: ribosomal RNA, 2905 nt
Filed under: Escherichia albertii
Lineage: Bacteria; Pseudomonadati; Pseudomonadota; Gammaproteobacteria; Enterobacterales; Enterobacteriaceae
Description: 23S ribosomal RNA
Rfam family: Bacterial large subunit ribosomal RNA
Source: RNAcentral
GGUUAAGCGACUAAGCGUACACGGUGGAUGCCCUGGCAGUCAGAGGCGAUGAAGGACGUGCUAAUCUGCGAUAAGCGUCGGUAAGGUGAUAUGAACCGUUAUAACCGGCGAUGUCCGAAUGGGGAAACCCAGUGUGUUUCGACACACUAUCAUUAACUGAAUCCAUAGGUUAAUGAGGCGAACCGGGGGAACUGAAACAUCUAAGUACCCCGAGGAAAAGAAAUCAACCGAGAUUCCCCCAGUAGCGGCGAGCGAACGGGGAGCAGCCCAGAGCCUGAAUCAGUGUGUGUGUUAGUGGAAGCGUCUGGAAAGGCGCGCGAUACAGGGUGACAGCCCCGUACACAAAAAUGCACAUGCUGUGAGCUCGAUGAGUAGGGCGGGACACGUGGUAUCCUGUCUGAAUAUGGGGGGACCAUCCUCCAAGGCUAAAUACUCCUGACUGACCGAUAGUGAACCAGUACCGUGAGGGAAAGGCGAAAAGAACCCCGGCGAGGGGAGUGAAAAAGAACCUGAAACCGUGUACGUACAAGCAGUGGGAGCCCUGAUUUAUCAGGGUGACUGCGUACCUUUUGUAUAAUGGGUCAGCGACUUAUAUUCUGUAGCAAGGUUAACCGAAUAGGGGAGCCGGAGGGAAACCGAGUCUUAACUGGGCGUUAAGUUGCAGGGUAUAGACCCGAAACCCGGUGAUCUAGCCAUGGGCAGGUUGAAGGUUGGGUAACACUAACUGGAGGACCGAACCGACUAAUGUUGAAAAAUUAGCGGAUGACUUGUGGCUGGGGGUGAAAGGCCAAUCAAACCGGGAGAUAGCUGGUUCUCCCCGAAAGCUAUUUAGGUAGCGCCUCGUGAAUUCAUCUCCGGGGGUAGAGCACUGUUUCGGCAAGGGGGUCAUCCCGACUUACCAACCCGAUGCAAACUGCGAAUACCGGAGAAUGUUAUCACGGGAGACACACGGCGGGUGCUAACGUCCGUCGUGAAGAGGGAAACAACCCAGACCGCCAGCUAAGGUCCCAAAGUCAUGGUUAAGUGGGAAACGAUGUGGGAAGGCCCAGACAGCCAGGAUGUUGGCUUAGAAGCAGCCAUCAUUUAAAGAAAGCGUAAUAGCUCACUGGUCGAGUCGGCCUGCGCGGAAGAUGUAACGGGGCUAAACCAUGCACCGAAGCUGCGGCAGCGACACUAUGUGUUGUUGGGUAGGGGAGCGUUCUGUAAGCCUGUGAAGGUGUGCUGUGAGGCAUGCUGGAGGUAUCAGAAGUGCGAAUGCUGACAUAAGUAACGAUAAAGCGGGUGAAAAGCCCGCUCGCCGGAAGACCAAGGGUUCCUGUCCAACGUUAAUCGGGGCAGGGUGAGUCGACCCCUAAGGCGAGGCCGAAAGGCGUAGUCGAUGGGAAACAGGUUAAUAUUCCUGUACUUGGUGUUACUGCGAAGGGGGGACGGAGAAGGCUAUGUUGGCCGGGCGACGGUUGUCCCGGUUUAAGCGUGUAGGCUGGUUUUCCAGGCAAAUCCGGAAAAUCAAGGCUGAGGCGUGAUGACGAGGCACUACGGUGCUGAAGCAACAAAUGCCCUGCUUCCAGGAAAAGCCUCUAAGCAUCAGGUAACAUCAAAUCGUACCCCAAACCGACACAGGUGGUCAGGUAGAGAAUACCAAGGCGCUUGAGAGAACUCGGGUGAAGGAACUAGGCAAAAUGGUGCCGUAACUUCGGGAGAAGGCACGCUGAUAUGUAGGUGAAGUCCCUCGCGGAUGGAGCUGAAAUCAGUCGAAGAUACCAGCUGGCUGCAACUGUUUAUUAAAAACACAGCACUGUGCAAACACGAAAGUGGACGUAUACGGUGUGACGCCUGCCCGGUGCCGGAAGGUUAAUUGAUGGGGUCAGCGCAAGCGAAGCUCUUGAUCGAAGCCCCGGUAAACGGCGGCCGUAACUAUAACGGUCCUAAGGUAGCGAAAUUCCUUGUCGGGUAAGUUCCGACCUGCACGAAUGGCGUAAUGAUGGCCAGGCUGUCUCCACCCGAGACUCAGUGAAAUUGAACUCGCUGUGAAGAUGCAGUGUACCCGCGGCAAGACGGAAAGACCCCGUGAACCUUUACUAUAGCUUGACACUGAACACUGGUCCUUGAUGUGUAGGAUAGGUGGGAGGCUUUGAAGUGUGGACGCCAGUCUGCAUGGAGCCGUCCUUGAAAUACCACCCUUUAAUGGCUGGUGUUCUAACGUUGGCCCCUUACCGGGGUUGCGGACAGUGUCUGGUGGGUAGUUUGACUGGGGCGGUCUCCUCCUAAAGAGUAACGGAGGAGCACGAAGGUUGGCUAAUCCUGGUCGGACAUCAGGAGGUUAGUGCAAUGGCAUAAGCCAGCUUGACUGCGAGCGUGACGGCGCGAGCAGGUGCGAAAGCAGGUCAUAGUGAUCCGGUGGUUCUGAAUGGAAGGGCCAUCGCUCAACGGAUAAAAGGUACUCCGGGGAUAACAGGCUGAUACCGCCCAAGAGUUCAUAUCGACGGCGGUGUUUGGCACCUCGAUGUCGGCUCAUCACAUCCUGGGGCUGAAGUAGGUCCCAAGGGUAUGGCUGUUCGCCAUUUAAAGUGGUACGCGAGCUGGGUUUAGAACGUCGUGAGACAGUUCGGUCCCUAUCUGCCGUGGGCGCUGGAGAACUGAGGGGGGCUGCUCCUAGUACGAGAGGACCGGAGUGGACGCAUCACUGGUGUUCGGGUUGUCAUGCCAAUGGCACUGCCCGGUAGCUAAAUGCGGAAGAGAUAAGUGCUGAAAGCAUCUAAGCACGAAACUUGCCCCGAGAUGAGUUCUCCCUGAGACCUGGAGUCUCCUGAAGGAACGUUGAAGACGACGACGUUGAUAGGCCGGGUGUGUAAGCGCAGCGAUGCGUUGAGCUAACCGGUACUAAUGAACCGUGAGGCUUAACCUU